This is a long non-coding RNA of Physeter macrocephalus (sperm whale), 4839 nucleotides long. RefSeq lists it as uncharacterized. The transcript has 3 exons. The record is from RefSeq and is a predicted model, not a curated record. Lineage: Eukaryota; Metazoa; Chordata; Mammalia; Artiodactyla; Physeteridae.
UGUUUAGCCUCCACAUGUUGGUGUUUUUUACAGUUUUUUUUCUUGUGAUUGAUUUCUAAUCUCAUAGUGUUUUGGUCGGGAAAGUUGCUUGAUAUGAUUUCAGUUUUCUGAAAUUUACUCAAGGCUUGCUGUGUGGCCCAGAAUGUGAUCUAUCCUGGAGAAUGUUCCAUGUGCACUUGAGAAGAAGGUGUAUUCUGCUGCUUUUGGAUGGAAUGUUCUGUAAAUAUCAGUUAAUCCCCUUGGUCUAAUAUGUCAUUUAAGGCCUGUGUUUCCUUAUUGAUUUUCUAUCUGGAUGAUCUGUCCAUUGAUGUAAGUGGGGUGUUAAAGUCCCCCAGUUUUAUUGUGUUACUGUUGAUUUCUCCUUUUAUGGCUGUUAGCAUUUGCCUUAUAUAUUGGGGUGCUCCUAUGUUGGGCGCAUAUAUAUUUACAAGUGUUAGAUCUUCUUCUUGGAUUGAUCCCUUUAUCAUUAUGCAGUGUCCUUCUUUGUCUCUUAUAAGUCUUCAUUUUAAAGUCUAUUUUGUCUGAUAUAAGUAUUGCUACUCCAGCUUUCUUGUGAUUUCCAUUUGCAUGGAAUACCUUUAUCCAUCCCCUCGCUUUCAGUCUGUAUAUGUCCCUAGAUCUAAAGUGGGUCUCUUGUGGACAGCAUAUAUACUGGUCUUGUUUUCAUGUCCAUUCAGCCAGCCUGUAUCUUUUGGUUGGAGCAUUUAAUCCAUUUUCCUUUAAAGUAAUUAUCAUAUGUAUGUUCUUAUUGCCAUUUUGUUAAUUGUUUUGGAUUUGUUUUUGUAGGUCUUUUUUCUUCCCUUCCUUUUUUUCCCUUGUGAUUUGAUGACUAUCUUUUGUGUUGUGUUUGGAUUGCUUUAUCUUUUUUGUAUGUGUAUCUGUUGUAGGUUUUGGGUUUGCUGUUCCCAUGAGGUUUUGAUAUAGCAGUCUGUAUAUAAACAAGAUUGUUUUAAGUUGCUGGUCUCUUAAUAUCAAAUGCAUUUCCAGUACCCUGCAUUUGUACUCUCCUCAGGAUUGCUGGUUUUGAUAAAUUUGUGUGUGAAUGAUUUCCUACGUUUACUGUAUGUUUGCCUUUACCGGUGAGCUUCCCCAUUUGUAAUUUUCUUGUUUCUAGUUGUGGCCUUUUCUUUUCUGCCUAGAGAAGUUCCUUUAGCAUUUGUUGUAAAGCUGGUUUGGUGGUGCUGAAUUCUCUUAGCUUUUGAUUGUCUGUAUAGCUUUUCAUUUCUCUGUCAAAUCUGAACAAGAGCCUUGCUGGGUAGAGUAGUCUUGGUUGUAGGUUUUUCCCUUGUAUCACUUAAAUAUAUAGUGCUACUCCCUUCUGGCCAGCAGAGUUUCUGCUGAAAAAAUCAGCUGAUAACCUUACGGGGAUCCCCUUGUUUCUUAUUUGUUGCUUUUUAGUUUUACUAAUAUAUGUGUCUCGACGUGUUCCUCCUUGGGUUUAUCCUGUAUGGGACUCUGCACUUCGUGGACUUGAGUGAGUGUUCCCUUUCCCAUGUUAGGGAAGUUUUUAGUUAUAAUCUCUUCAAAUAUUUUCUCAGGUCCUUUCUCUCUCUCUUCUCUUCUGGGACCCCUGUAAUGGGAAUGUUGGUGUGUUUAAUGUUGUCCCAGAAGUCUCUUAGACUGUCCUCAUUUCUUUUCAUUCUUCUUUCUUUAUUCUGUUCUGUGGCAGUGAUUCCCACCACUCUUUCAGCUCACUUAUUUGUUCUUCUAUCUCAUUUAUUCUGCUAUUGAUUCAUUCUAGUGUAUUUUUCAUUUGUAUUAUUGUAUUGUUCAUCUGUUCUUUAAAUCUUCUAGCUCUGUUUUAAACAUUUCUUGUAUCUUCUUGGUCUGUGCCUCCAUUCUUUUUCCAAGAUCUUGGGUCAUCUUUACUGUCAUUACCUUGAAUUGUUUUUCAAAUAGAUUGCCUAUCUCUAAUUCACUUAGUUGUUCUUCCGGGGUUUUAUCUUGUUCGUUUGUCUGGAAUAUGUUUCUCUGCCAUUUCAUUUUGUCUAACUUUCUGUGUUUUUGGUCUCCUUUCCUCAGGCUGCAGGAUUGUAGUUCCUCUUGCUUCUGGUGUCUGCCCCCCAGUGGGUGAGAUUGAUUUAGGGGCUUGUGCAGGCUUCCUGGUAGGAGGGACUGGCACCUGCCCACUGGUGCAUGGAGGUGGAUUUUGUCCCUCUGGUGGGCAGAAAUGUGUCAAGGAGUGUGUUUAGAGGUGGCUGUGAGCUCAGUACAACUUUAGGCUGCCUGUCUGCUGAUGGGUGGGGCUAUGUCUCCCCCCAUCCCCCACCUCGACUGCUGGUUGUUUGGCCUGAGGCCUCCCAGCACUGGAGCCUGCAGGCUGUAGGGUGGGGCCACUUCUUGAUGCCAAAAUGGCGACCUCUGGGAGAGCUCACGCCAAUCAAUAUUCCCUGGGUCCUUCACCACAGGUGUCCUUGCACAGAGAGAGCAACAAUCAACCCCCACCUCUUCAGGAGACCCUCCAAUACCCACAGCAUAGAUGUUCUUCUCUUCUUCAAUAGCUUCACACUUGAAAGUGUUCCAACAGAAUGAGAACCUGACUAUCCUAAGUGGCUGAUAAAGGUGUUCUUGCAGUUACAGGAAUGCUGAUUGUUCCAUAACAUGUAACUAAUCUGGGUACAUUUUGUAGACUGGUGAUAAAACACAUCACAUCUUAAAUCUCUGAAUGAUGUUCUUACGUGUGUAUGUGUAUUUAUAUGUGUGUACACACCUUCAAAUAAAAAACAGAAACAAAACCAUCUUGGGCCUUUGAUUUGAAGCACUCUGCACUUCCCAGGUGAUUCUGCUUCUGCUUCUGCUUUCCUGAGCCAGCUACUAAGGGAACCUCAAUGUGAUGAUGAAUAGACUUGCCUCAAAAAGGAGGAUGAAGGGGAGCAGAAUAUGCCAUCCCAAAAUAUGCCUCUUUGGCAUAAGGAUUAUUUUGAGUGGAUUAUUUUUAAGAAACAGAAGAAAAGCUCUAAAAAUCUAGUAGAAGUUACUCAUUUGUAGGAGACAUUUACAUUUAUAAGAAAUUUUUAUUUGUAAGUGUGUCUUCUAAUCUGUGCCAGGAAUAGAAGGAUGACUCUAAAUCACAAGAAACUCUUAUCAGUGGAGAAGAUACCCAACUUAAAUCUGCAUAACAACCUUACUCUGUUUACUGUGUUUUUCCUAGUAACUUCCCAUGACUGGCCUUCUCCACCUCCCAACAUUUUUCUUGUGUCUUUAGCUGAAAAAGGAAUUUAAGAUGAUGGCUUGGGCUAUUUGGGGGAGUUAGUUUUCCAGGGUCUCCCCCAUGUAUACAGGAUGUAUACAUGUUAUUUGUUUUCUAUUUGUUUUUCUCCUGUUAAUCUGUCUUUUAUUACAGGGGUGGGGUCUCAGCCAACAACCUAGAAUGGUAGAGGGAAAAUUGUUUUUCCUCAAUGACAGUUUGGUGACCCAUGAUGGGAUCUGCUGAAACACCGUACUUCUUCUGGAGCCUGAAGAUAGGAACCUGGAAAACUGGCAGAAGCCAGCAAAGGAAGAUCCUACCAGAUUUAGAGAAGAGUUAGAAAUAUCAGUGGCCAUUCACAACCUCACUCACAAGGACCUUGACUGGAUGCUCAGGGGUAUUCUUCCCACCCAUAAUUAUACUGCAGUUAUCAGAGAAGCCAGACAGCCCCCUGGUGGACCCCCCCACCCCACCCCCAACCAAGGAAACAGAUGACCAGAAUUUCUCCCAGGCUCUCCUGCAAAUGAUCAGGAAAUGGAUCAGUGGAGGUUAGUGUUCAGAGGAUGAUAGAAGCAAGAGUGAACUGGUCCAAGGUUGAAUUGUACACUCAAGGAGAGCAUUCAAAGGCCUUUGCUGAAUGCUUUAUACAGACUUUACAAAGGUAAAUUGUACUAAACCCUAAAGCUCGAGAACAUAGUAAUGUUUUUAUUUCCAUCUCAGUUGGAAUGGAAAUCUCCUUUGGUAAAAAUGUGGUUGAUUGUAGAGAGAAAAAUGAUGCUUCUGUAAAUAAUAUACCCUUGUGGAUAUCAGGUUCUAGUCCUGUUAACUGUCUGAAGUUUGAUUAUUUUCCUGUAAACUGGAGUAGAUCCUGAAUUAUCCUACUUUCCUCAAAUAAUCUGGCUACAUCUCUUCAAACUAAUGUUUCCAGUUUUCUUCCACUCUUUUGACUUGGAAUCACUAAGAACAAAUUGUAUGAAGUUCCUAGAAAUCUGAUAUGUCCUGAUAUAUUAUCACUUGUAAUUCUAGUUAUUAUCUUAAAAUGUAUGUCACAGACAUAACCAUAUUUCCUUGUCAAAGGCUCAUUAUAUCUUUAACCAUGGCUGUUUUUAAGUCUUUUGUCACUUAUGAAAGUUAUUGUUUUGCUUUUGCAAAAGUUAUUUCCCAAAGCCCUGCAAACUGAAUGUGAAUGGACUGACAUAAAGUUCACAGAAAUGACCCCAGCGGCUCACGUUUAGAUCAUCUUUGUGCCUGUUGCUGUGUGGACCACUCAGGAAGUUUAUCUGAACAUCGAUGACAUCAGACAAAUUCAAAUCGCAGAAGAUGCUUCAACCCCAACAUCUAGAAAUCUGACUGGCGGCCUUCGGGACUCAGGCUGAGUUUAUAAUUUGACCCCACCACUAACUUUUGUUUUUCUCGUUUCCAUAGACAUGCCUCUUACUAAAUACCCAAUUGCUCGCACCGUAUAAGGCUAACUUCAGGACUCCACCUGCAACACCAGCUCCUGAAAUGAGACACAACUGUUUAACUGAGCUGACCUAUCCUCGAGAUUAAGAGGUUGGUUCAGUGAAAUAAUAGAGCACUCUAUCAACCUAGCUUCUAGACUGUGAAACUUCAUUGAACUUUUUUAAAAAUUAAUUUAUUAUUUAUUUAUU